CGGCAGAAAUUUGGAAUACUUAGUGGCGGACGGGUGAGUAACGCGUGAGCAACCUGCCUUUAAGAGGGGGAUAACAUACCGAAAGGUAUGCUAAUACCGCAUAACGUAUGAUCGUCACAUGGCGGACAUACCAAAGAUUUAUCGCUUAGAGAUGGGCCCGCGUCCGAUUAGAUAGUUGGUGAGGUAACGGCUCACCAAGUCGACGAUCGGUAGCCGGACUGAGAGGUUGAACGGCCACAUUGGGACUGAGACACGGCCCAGACUCCUACGGGAGGCAGCAGUGGGGGAUAUUGCGCAAUGGGGGCAACCCUGAACCGCAGCAACGCCGCGUGAAGGAAGAAGGUCUUCGGAUUGUAAACUUCUGUCUUAUGGGACGAAGAAAUGACGGUACCAUAGGAGGAAGCCACGGCUAACUACGUGCCAGCAGCCGC
Molecule: ribosomal RNA, 431 nt
Filed under: uncultured bacterium
Lineage: Bacteria
Description: bacterial SSU rRNA
Rfam family: Bacterial small subunit ribosomal RNA
Source: RNAcentral